CAGUCGCCGCGGGAAUACGAAGGGUGCAAGCGUUAAUCGGAAUUACUGGGCGUAAAGCGUGCAUAGGCGGUUUGUUAAGUCUGCUGUGAAAUCCCCGGGCUCAACCUGGGAAUGGCAGUGGGUACUGGCAAGCUAGAGUGUGUCAGAGGAUGGUGGAAUUCCCGGUGUAGCGGUGAAAUGCGUAGAGAUCGGGAGGAACAUCAGUGGCGAAGGCGGCCAUCUGGGACAACACUGACGCUGAGGCACGAAAGCGUGGGGAGCAAACAGGAUUAGAUACCCGCGUAGUCCCUGUCUCUUAUAA
RNAcentral lists this ribosomal RNA (301 nucleotides) under uncultured bacterium. Its description in RNAcentral is "partial 16S ribosomal RNA". It matches the Rfam family "Bacterial small subunit ribosomal RNA", at positions 509 to 809 of the family's 1533-position model. The record is from RNAcentral.